GCCCUUAGAGUUUGAUCCUGGCUCAGGAUGAACGCUGGCGGCGUGCCUAACACAUGCAAGUCGAGCGCGAUUAGUUGGACUGGAGACUUCGGUCAAAGGGAAGACUAUGAAAGCGGCGGACGGGUGAGUAACGCGUGAGCAACCUGCCCUGUACAGGGGGAUAGCCACUGGAAACGGUGAUUAAUACCCCAUAAACCCAAAAGAUCGCAUGAUCUAAUGGGCAAAGUUCCAACGGUACAGGAUGGGCUCGCGUCUGAUUAGCUAGUUGGUGAGGUAAUGGCUCACCAAGGCGACGAUCAGUAGCCGACCUGAGAGGGUGAACGGCCACACUGGAACUGAGACACGGUCCAGACUCCUACGGGAGGCAGCAGUGGGGAAUAUUGCACAAUGGGCGCAAGCCUGAUGCAGCAACGCCGCGUGAGUGUUGAAGGCCUUCGGGUCGUAAAACUCUGUCCUAAGGGAAGAAGAAGUGACGGUACUUAGGAGGAAGCCCCGGCUACACUG
This 504-nucleotide ribosomal RNA is filed under the name uncultured bacterium. Its description in RNAcentral is "bacterial SSU rRNA". It matches the Rfam family "Bacterial small subunit ribosomal RNA", at positions 1 to 504 of the family's 1533-position model. The record is from RNAcentral.